Molecule: ribosomal RNA, 563 nt
Filed under: Chaetoceros curvisetus
Lineage: Eukaryota; Bacillariophyta; Thalassiosirophyceae; Chaetocerotales; Chaetocerotaceae
Description: partial Bacterial large subunit ribosomal RNA
Rfam family: Bacterial large subunit ribosomal RNA
Source: RNAcentral
UGAGUUAGGUGGAUCAGACCCGAAACCGAGUGAUCUAGGCAUGACCAGGCUGAAGGUAAGGUAACACUUACUGGAGGGCCGAACCCACACCUGUUGAAAAAGGUCGGGAUGAGUUGUGCCUAGGGGUGAAAGGCCAAUCAAACUCCGUGAUAGCUGGUUCUCCCCGAAAUGCAUUUAGGUGCAGCGUUGCGUGGUUCUUGUUGGAGGUAGAGCACUGGAUGGUCUAGGGGGCUUAUCGGCUUACCGAAAUCAGCCAAACUCCGAAUGCUGGCAAGUGUAGCGUGGCAGUGAGACGGCGGGGGAUAAGCUUCGUCGUCGAGAGGGAAACAGCCCAGAUCAUCAGCUAAGGCCCCUAAGUGGUGACUCAGUGGGAAAGGAUGUGGAGUUGCGUAGACAACCAGGAGGUUGGCUUGGAAGCAGCCAUCCUUGAAAGAGUGCGUAAUAGCUCACUGGUCAAGUGAUUCCGCGCCGACAAUGUAACGGGGCUCAAGCCAUGUGCCGAAGCUGCGGAUUUGACCGCAAGGUCAAGUGGUAGCGGAGCGUUCCGUAAGCCUGUGAAGGGA